UUGCCCCAGUAACGGCGAGUGAAGCGGCAACAGCUCAAAUUUGAAAUCUGGCCCCCAGGGCCCGAGUUGUAAUUUGCAGAGGAUGCUUUUGGCGCGGCGCCUUCCGAGUUCCCUGGAACGGGACGCCACAGAGGGUGAGAGCCCCGUCUGGUCGGACGCCAAGCCAGUGUAAAGCUCCUUCGACGAGUCGAGUAGUUUGGGAAUGCUGCUCUAAAUGGGAGGUAUAUGUCUUCUAAAGCUAAAUACCGGCCAGAGACCGAUAGCGCACAAGUAGAGUGAUCGAAAGAUGAAAAGCACUUUGAAAAGAGGGUUAAACAGUACGUGAAAUUGUUGAAAGGGAAGCGCUUGUGACCAGACUUGGGCCCGGUGAAUCAUCCAGCGUUCUCGCCGGUGCACUUCGCCGGGCUCAGGCCAGCAUCGGUUCGCCGCGGGGGACAAAGGCAUCGGGAACGUGGCUCCCCCGGGAGUGUUAUAGCCCGUUGCGCAAUGCCCUGCGGCGGACCGAGGUUCGCGCUCCGCAAGGAUGCUGGCGUAAUGGUCAUCAGCGACCCGU
This 553-nucleotide ribosomal RNA is filed under the name Tolypocladium fumosum. Its description in RNAcentral is "eukaryotic LSU rRNA". It matches the Rfam family "Eukaryotic large subunit ribosomal RNA", at positions 75 to 652 of the family's 3401-position model. The record is from RNAcentral. Lineage: Eukaryota; Fungi; Ascomycota; Sordariomycetes; Hypocreales; Ophiocordycipitaceae.